GAUGAACGCUGGCGGCGUGCCUAAUACAUGCAAGUCGAGCGAACGGACGAGAAGCUUGCUUCUCUGAUGUUAGCGGCGGACGGGUGAGUAACACGUGGAUAACCUACCUAUAAGACUGGGAUAACUUCGGGAAACCGGAGCUAAUACCGGAUAAUAUUUUGAACCGCAUGGUUCAAAAGUGAAAGACGGUCUUGCUGUCACUUAUAGAUGGAUCCGCGCUUCAUUAGCUAGUUGGUAAGGUAACGGCUUACCAAGGCAACGAUGCAUAGCCGACCUGAGAGGGUGAUCGGCCACACUGGAACUGAGACACGGUCCAGACUCCUACGGGAGGCAGCAGUAGGGAAUCUUCCGCAAUGGGCGAAAGCCGGACGGAGCAACGCCGCGUGAGUGAUGAAGGUCUUCGGAUCGUAAAACUCUGUGAUUAGGGAAGAACAUAUGUGUAAGUAACUGUGCACAUCUUGACGGUACCUAAUCAGAAAGCCACGGCUAACUACGUG
Molecule: ribosomal RNA, 497 nt
Filed under: uncultured bacterium
Lineage: Bacteria
Description: partial 16S ribosomal RNA
Rfam family: Bacterial small subunit ribosomal RNA
Source: RNAcentral